Molecule: ribosomal RNA, 233 nt
Filed under: uncultured bacterium
Lineage: Bacteria
Description: partial 16S ribosomal RNA
Rfam family: Bacterial small subunit ribosomal RNA
Source: RNAcentral
UCCACGCCGUAAACGAUGGAUACUAGCUGUUCGACCGUAAGGCUGAGUGGCUAAGCGAAAGUGAUAAGUAACCCACCUGGGGAGUACGUUCGCAAGAAUGAAACUCAAAGGAAUUGACGGGGGCCCGCACAAGCGGUGGAGCAUGUGGUUUAAUUCGAUGAUACGCGAGGAACCUUACCAGGGCUUAAAUGUAGUGUGACAGGACUAGAGAUAGUUUUUUCUUCGGACACAUU